RNAcentral lists this ribosomal RNA (506 nucleotides) under uncultured bacterium. Its description in RNAcentral is "partial 16S ribosomal RNA". It matches the Rfam family "Bacterial small subunit ribosomal RNA", at positions 28 to 523 of the family's 1533-position model. The record is from RNAcentral.
GAUGAACGCUAGCUACAGGCUUAACACAUGCAAGUCGAGGGGUAACGAGAGGAAAGCUUGCUUUCCUUGUCGACGACCGGCGCACGGGUGAGUAACGCGUAUCCAACCUGCCCCCAACUAAGGAAUAACCUUGCGAAAGUAAGACUAAUACCUUAUAAUUUCCUCAGAUGUCAUCUGACGAGGAAUAAAGAUUUAUCGUUUGUGGAUGGGGAUGCGUCUGAUUAGCUUGUUGGCGGGGUAACGGCCAACCAAGGCAACGAUCAGUAGGGGUUCUGAGAGGAAGGUCCCCCACAUUGGAACUGAGACACGGUCCAAACUCCUACGGGAGGCAGCAGUGAGGAAUAUUGGUCAAUGGGCGGAAGCCUGAACCAGCCAAGUAGCGUGCAGGAUGACGGCCCUAUGGGUUGUAAACUGCUUUUAUACAGGAAUAAAGUUAGCCACGUGUGGUUAUUUGUAGGUACUGUAUGAAUAAGGACCGGCUAAUUCCGUGCCAGCAGCAGCCGCCG